This 301-nucleotide ribosomal RNA is filed under the name uncultured bacterium. RNAcentral's name for it is "partial 16S ribosomal RNA". It matches the Rfam family "Bacterial small subunit ribosomal RNA", at positions 509 to 807 of the family's 1533-position model. The record is from RNAcentral.
CAGUAGCCACGGUAAAACGAAGGGUGCAAGCGUUACUCGGAAUUACUGGGCGUAAAGCGUGUGUAGGUGGUUGUUUAAGUCUGUCGUGAAAGCCCUGGGCUCAACCUGGGAAUUGCGAUGGAUACUGGGCGACUAGAGUGCGGUAGAGGAUAGUGGAAUUCCCGGUGUAGCAGUGAAAUGCGUAGAGAUCGGAAGGAACAUCUGUGGCGAAGGCGACUAUCUGGGCCAACACUGACACUGAGACACGAAAGCGUGGGGAGCAAUCAGGAUUAGAUACCCGCGUAGUCCCUGUCUCUUAUAC